CCUUAUAGUGGGGGAUAACUAGUCGAAAGAUUAGCUAAUACCGCAUAACAAGUUAACUAUCGCAUGAGAAUAACUUUAAAGAAGCAACUGCUUCGCUAUAAGAUGAGGGUGCGGCAUAUCAGCUAGUUGGUGAGGGUAAUGGCCCACCAAGGCGAUGACGUGUAGUUAUGCUGAGAGGUAGAAUAACCACAAUGGGACUGAGACACGGCCCAUACUCCUACGGGAGGCAGCAGUAGGGAAUUUUUCACAAUGGACGAAAGUCUGAUGGAGCAAUGCCGCGUGAACGAUGAAGGUCUUUUUAGAUUGUAAAGUUCUUUUAUUUGGGAAGAACAGUUAAUAGAGUGG
This 345-nucleotide ribosomal RNA is filed under the name uncultured Mycoplasma sp. Its description in RNAcentral is "bacterial SSU rRNA". It matches the Rfam family "Bacterial small subunit ribosomal RNA", at positions 129 to 464 of the family's 1533-position model. Lineage: Bacteria; Bacillati; Mycoplasmatota; Mollicutes; Mycoplasmatales; Mycoplasmataceae. The record is from RNAcentral.